Molecule: ribosomal RNA, 497 nt
Filed under: uncultured bacterium
Lineage: Bacteria
Description: partial 16S ribosomal RNA
Rfam family: Bacterial small subunit ribosomal RNA
Source: RNAcentral
GACGAACGCUGGCGGCGUGCCUAAUACAUGCAAGUUGAGCGCUGAAGGUUGGUACUUGUACCAACUGGAUGAGCAGCGAACGGGUGAGUAACGCGUGGGGAAUCUGCCUUUGAGCGGGGGACAACAUUUGGAAACGAAUGCUAAUACCGCAUAAAAACUUUAAACACAAGUUUUAAGUUUGAAAGAUGCAAUUGCAUCACUCAAAGAUGAUCCCGCGUUGUAUUAGCUAGUUGGUGAGGUAAAGGCUCACCAAGGCGAUGAUACAUAGCCGACCUGAGAGGGUGAUCGGCCACAUUGGGACUGAGACAAGGCCCAAACUCCUACGGGAGGCAGCAGUAGGGAAUCUUCGGCAAUGGACGAAAGUCUGACCGAGCAACGCCGCGGGAGUGAAGAAGGUUUUCGGAUCGUAAAACUCUGUUGGUAGAGAAGAACGUUGGUGAGAGUGGAAAGCUCAUCAAGUGACGGUAACUACACAGAAAGGGACGGCUAACUACGUG